This 73-nucleotide transfer RNA is filed under the name Stegodyphus mimosarum. It matches the Rfam family "tRNA". From Rfam's summary of the family: Transfer RNA (tRNA) molecules are approximately 80 nucleotides in length. Their secondary structure includes four short double-helical elements and three loops (D, anti-codon, and T loops). Further hydrogen bonds mediate the characteristic L-shaped molecular structure. tRNAs have two regions of fundamental functional importance: the anti-codon, which is responsible for specific mRNA codon recognition, and the 3' end, to which the tRNAs corresponding amino acid is attached (by aminoacyl-tRNA synthetases). tRNAs cope with the degeneracy of the genetic code in two manners: having more than one tRNA (with a specific anti-codon) for a particular amino acid; and 'wobble' base-pairing, i.e. permitting non-standard base-pairing at the 3rd anti-codon position. Lineage: Eukaryota; Metazoa; Arthropoda; Arachnida; Araneae; Eresidae. The record is from Rfam by way of RNAcentral.
GCGUUCGUGGUGUAGUGGUCAGUACGCUCGACGCGUAUUCGAGAGGUCCGUGGUUCGAGUCCCGGCGAGGACA